GGCACUGUGGCUCAUGUGGUAGAGCACUAGCCUUGAGCAAAAAAUCCAAGUGAGAGCUCAAGGCCCUGAAUUCAAGUCUCAGCAUUGCCA
RNAcentral lists this transfer RNA (90 nucleotides) under Dipodomys ordii (Ord's kangaroo rat). It matches the Rfam family "tRNA". Rfam says of the family: Transfer RNA (tRNA) molecules are approximately 80 nucleotides in length. Their secondary structure includes four short double-helical elements and three loops (D, anti-codon, and T loops). The record is from Rfam by way of RNAcentral. Lineage: Eukaryota; Metazoa; Chordata; Mammalia; Rodentia; Heteromyidae.